Molecule: ribosomal RNA, 538 nt
Filed under: uncultured bacterium
Lineage: Bacteria
Description: bacterial SSU rRNA
Rfam family: Bacterial small subunit ribosomal RNA
Source: RNAcentral
AGAGUUUGAUCAUGGCUCAGAACGAACGCUGGCGGCGUGCCUAACACAUGCAAGUCGCGCGCGAAAGCCUUCGGGUGAGUAGAGCGGCGCACGGGUGAGUAACACGUGGGUAAUCUUCCUUCAGGACUGGGAUAACCCGGGGAAACUCGGGCUAAUACCGGAUAAGACCACGCAACGAGAGUUGCGCGGGAAAAGCGGAGGACCUCUUCGGAGGCUUCGCACCAGAAGAUGAGCCCGCGGCCCAUCAGCUAGUUGGCGGGGUAACGGCCCACCAAGGCUAAGACGGGUAGCUGGUCUGAGAGGACGACCAGCCACACUGGGACUGAGACACGGCCCAGACUCCUACGGGAGGCAGCAGUGGGGAAUUUUGGACAAUGAGCGCAAGCCUGAUCCAGCCAUGCCGCGUGCAGGAUGAAGGCCUUCGGGUUGUAAACUGCUUUUGUACGGAACGAAACGACUCUUUCUAAUACAGAGGGCUAAUGACGGUACCGUAAGAAUAAGCACCGGCUAACUACGUGCCAGCCGCCGCGGUAAUACA